GAUAUAGUAGUGGGGAUAUAGUAGUGGGGAUACCAUUAGUGGGGAUAUAGUAGUGGGGAUAUAGUAGUGUGGAUAUAGUAGUGGGGAUAUAGUAGUGGGGAUAUAGUAGUGUGGAUAUAGUAGUGGGGAUAUAGUAGUGUGGAUAUAGUAGUGUGGAUAUAGUAGUGGGGAUAUAGUAGUGGGGAUAUAGUAGUGUGGAUAUAGUAGUGGGGAUAUAGUAGUGUGGAUAUAGUAGUGGGGAUAUAGUAGUGGGGAUAUAGUAGUGGGGAUAUAGUAGUGGGGAUAUAGUAGUGGGGAUAUAGUAGUGGGGAUAUAGUAGUGGGGAUAUAGUAGUGGGGCACCGUUGCGAGCAGCCCUGACUGCACCGGGUUGUGGCACUGCUUAUUGGAAGGCCUCCGGCGCCGCACGGCCAGGAGGGUUUGGGCCCAGCUCAGCCGCCCCUGGUUCUCUGCGAUGGCCCUGAGGAGAUCCUCGCUCAUCUGCUGCUGGCUGGUGAACUCGACCAGAAACUGGUGAAUGGUGAACUGGAGGGGAAAUGAUCACUGCCCCGUCUGUGCGUCCUCACUGAAUGCCCACGACCUUCUCCUCCACCUUGGCCAGCUCGUCCCCCGUCUGGCUCCUGGCGGACAAGGACGUUCCGCUCCACUGGAGCCUCCAGGGCUUUCGCCAGUCUGCUGGACAUCUUGAAGAGGUCGUCCACCUCCCCGGUGAUCUGCUCCAACUUCCACUCCGAAUCCUUCCUCAGAAACUGGAUGUCUCUGAGGAGCUGAUCUGAGGAGCACAAGGAUCAAGGAUUCCCACUACGGCCCCUCUCCGUGCAUCCAGCUGUAGCUGAAACACACGGGUCCAUGGCUUGUGUCCCCCUUGUGUCCCCCUCACUCACCCAGCCGCUCGGUGACAUCGCUUUGCAUGCGCCGCCAUGCUGUGUCCAUUUCCGUGACGGCCGUCCUGCAUUCUGCUCUGAUGAGCUGGGACUCGUUCCGCGUGACCUCCACGUCCACGGGAGUGCUGGGGGCCG
Long non-coding RNA from Gasterosteus aculeatus aculeatus (three-spined stickleback), 1018 nucleotides. The record is from Ensembl. Lineage: Eukaryota; Metazoa; Chordata; Actinopteri; Perciformes; Gasterosteidae.